This 482-nucleotide ribosomal RNA is filed under the name uncultured bacterium. RNAcentral describes it as "partial 16S ribosomal RNA". It matches the Rfam family "Bacterial small subunit ribosomal RNA", at positions 28 to 523 of the family's 1533-position model. The record is from RNAcentral.
GACGAACGCUGGAGGCGUGCUUAACACAUGCAAGUCGAACGAUGAAAUGGAGCUUGCUCCAUGGAUUAGUGGCGAACGGGUGAGUAACACGUGAAUAACCUGCCCUUAAUUUUGGAAUAACCCAGGGAAACCUGGGCUAAUACCGGAUAAGUAAACCUGUGGCAUCACAUGGUUUUGGAAAGUCUUUCGAUUAAGGAUGGAUUCGCGGCCUAUCAGCUUGUUGGUGAGGUAAUGGCUCACCAAGGCGACGACGGGUAGCCGGCCUGAGAGGGUGAACGGCCACACUGGGACUGAGACACGGCCCAGACUCCUACGGGAGGCAGCAGUGGGGAAUAUUGCGCAAUGGACGAAAGUCUGACGCAGCGACGCCUCGUGAGGGACGAAGGUCUUCGGAUUGUAAACCUCUUUCAGCAGGGACGAAGCGAAAGUGACGGUACCUGCAGAAGAAGCACCGGCUAACUAUGUGCCAGCCGCCGCGGUAA